Molecule: ribosomal RNA, 388 nt
Filed under: uncultured bacterium
Lineage: Bacteria
Description: bacterial SSU rRNA
Rfam family: Bacterial small subunit ribosomal RNA
Source: RNAcentral
AUUGAACGCUGGCGGCAGGCCUAACACAUGCAAGUCGAGCGCGAAAGUUCUUCGGAAUGAGUAAAAGCGGCGGACGGGCGAGUAAUGCAUGGGAAUCUGCCUGGUAGUGGGGGACAACGCUUCGAAAGGAACGCUAAUACCGCAUACGCCCUACGGGGGAAAGGGGGGAGUCUUCGGACCUCUCGCUAUCAGAUGAGCCCAUGUCAGAUUAGCUAGUUGGUGGGGUAAAGGCUCACCAAGGCGACGAUCCGUAACUGGUCUGAGAGGAUGAUCAGUCACACUGGAACUGAGACACGGUCCAGACUCCUACGGGAGGCAGCAGUGGGGAAUAUUGGACAAUGGGCGAAAGCCUGAUCCAGCCAUGCCGCGUGUGUGAAGAAGGCCUCGG